GGGGCGUAGCGCAGCCUGGUAGCGCACUUGCAUGGGGUGCAAGGGGUCGAGUGUUCGAAUCACUCCGUCCCGACCAA
This 77-nucleotide transfer RNA is filed under the name Pseudomonas aeruginosa. RNAcentral describes it as "partial Pro tRNA". It matches the Rfam family "tRNA". From Rfam's summary of the family: Transfer RNA (tRNA) molecules are approximately 80 nucleotides in length. Their secondary structure includes four short double-helical elements and three loops (D, anti-codon, and T loops). Further hydrogen bonds mediate the characteristic L-shaped molecular structure. tRNAs have two regions of fundamental functional importance: the anti-codon, which is responsible for specific mRNA codon recognition, and the 3' end, to which the tRNAs corresponding amino acid is attached (by aminoacyl-tRNA synthetases). tRNAs cope with the degeneracy of the genetic code in two manners: having more than one tRNA (with a specific anti-codon) for a particular amino acid; and 'wobble' base-pairing, i.e. permitting non-standard base-pairing at the 3rd anti-codon position. Lineage: Bacteria; Pseudomonadati; Pseudomonadota; Gammaproteobacteria; Pseudomonadales; Pseudomonadaceae. RNAcentral also lists the same sequence under 2 other names. The record is from RNAcentral.